AACCUCUACAAUGCACGCAAGUGUGAUAGGGGAAUUCUCAGUGCUCGUGCAUUGCAUGGGCUUUUUUCAAGGGUAAAUACCUUGGAGAAUAAGUGGUGGGUAAGACUGGUGCCAGCCGCCGCGGUAACACCAGCGCCACGAGUGGGGAUCACGAUUAUUGGGCCUAAAGCGUCCGUAGCCGGUUCUAUAAAUCUUUUGUGAAAUCGUUGGGCUCAACUCAACGGAUUGCAGAAGACACUGUAGAACUCGAGACCGGGAGGGGUCGAAGGUAUUCUGUGGGGAGCGGUAAAAUGCUAUAAUCCACAGAGGACCACCGAUGGCGAAGGCAUUCGACCAGAACGGAUCUGACGGUCAGGGACGAAAGCCAGGGGAGCGAACCGGAUUAGAUACCCGAGUAGUCCUGGCCGUAAACGCUGUGAGUUAGGUGUUGCGUAAUCUACGGGAUUAUGCAGUGUCGAAAUGAAGAUGAUAAACUCACCGCCUGGGAAGUACGGUCGCAAGGCUGAAACUUUA
This 513-nucleotide ribosomal RNA is filed under the name uncultured archaeon. RNAcentral's name for it is "bacterial SSU rRNA". It matches the Rfam family "Archaeal small subunit ribosomal RNA", at positions 345 to 859 of the family's 1478-position model. The record is from RNAcentral.